This 84-nucleotide transfer RNA is filed under the name Felis catus (domestic cat). It matches the Rfam family "tRNA". From Rfam's summary of the family: Transfer RNA (tRNA) molecules are approximately 80 nucleotides in length. Their secondary structure includes four short double-helical elements and three loops (D, anti-codon, and T loops). Further hydrogen bonds mediate the characteristic L-shaped molecular structure. tRNAs have two regions of fundamental functional importance: the anti-codon, which is responsible for specific mRNA codon recognition, and the 3' end, to which the tRNAs corresponding amino acid is attached (by aminoacyl-tRNA synthetases). tRNAs cope with the degeneracy of the genetic code in two manners: having more than one tRNA (with a specific anti-codon) for a particular amino acid; and 'wobble' base-pairing, i.e. permitting non-standard base-pairing at the 3rd anti-codon position. The record is from Rfam by way of RNAcentral. Lineage: Eukaryota; Metazoa; Chordata; Mammalia; Carnivora; Felidae.
ACCUGGUUGGCUCAGUUGGUUGAACAUCUGACUGCAGCUCGGGUCAUGAUCUCAUGUCUGUGGGUUCAAACCCCACAUCAGCUU